UUUAUUUCUGCAGGCACUGUGAAAUGAUCGAAUGCCGCUAAUCAUUUUGGAGGUUUGUUGUAGGGUGCUCUACCAGGCAUUUUGAUCAGAUCUGCUUGCUCUUUCUCUGCCUGCCAUUUUAGCCAUCAGUUGAGAAUUAUAUUCAGGACUUCUAAUUGUUUCUCACUGCCAUGACCAAUGCGGGAUGAUGCUGGCUUCUUCAUAUAUGUGCAAGAUAUGUCAUGUUUAGCAUCACUGGAUUUCUGCAAAAAAGGGUGCUCUACCAGGCAUUUUGAUCAGAUCUGCUUGCUCUUUCUCUGCCUGCCAUUUUAGCCAUCAGUUGAGAAUUAUAUUCAGGAUACUGAACUCUCACUCAUGACGUAUGUGGGAUGGCCAUUGUGAAAGCACUACCAACUUGCAAUGUGAUGUGUGUAUUAGAUGUGAUGGGAGUAUGAGAUGCGAUGGGUGUAUGAGAUGUGAUGGCUGUAUGAUAUACCUAUAUUUCGUCGGCGUCUCCUCGAAAACGAUCAGCGCCGGAUCCUGUACGUGU
Non-coding RNA from Aegilops tauschii subsp. strangulata, 529 nucleotides. Lineage: Eukaryota; Viridiplantae; Streptophyta; Magnoliopsida; Poales; Poaceae. The record is from RefSeq and is a predicted model, not a curated record.